RNAcentral lists this unclassified non-coding RNA (1497 nucleotides) under Hevea brasiliensis (rubber tree). The record is from RNAcentral. Lineage: Eukaryota; Viridiplantae; Streptophyta; Magnoliopsida; Malpighiales; Euphorbiaceae.
GGGGCGUUGGUGCUUGGUGGGGAGGUUUGUCUGGGCAGAUCAUUCAAGAGAAAGGCAUUACAUGUUGUGUUGUUGCUAAAAGAAAUGCUAUGCUUUUAUGCUUAGACCUUUCCAAGAAAUCAAUUGGCUUCUGGCCAUUUCACCCUUUGAUAUUUUCUCAUAGAGAUAAAUCACUGUCAUAGGGUUGCUCAAUUUGCAAUGGUUUCACAGUGAAUAGUGCAACAUUUAAAAUUAAAAAAAGAAAAAUUACUGUUCUCUUAUCAUGUCUCUAAAUCAAAAGGAACAUUGUUUAACACUCAACUCCACUUCAUAUGAGUUUAAUAGAAGGCCUGAUAUUGUGUAGGAGUAACAUUUUAGACCUAAACUUAAGCAUGCAAUAACUGUUUUGUGUAUUUGGUUGUGUCUACAAAUGAGGGGCUGUUAAUUUGUUAUUGUGAUGGGUGAUAAAAGUGGCAGUGGUAGCAAUGGUGGUGUUGGUACCUAGGAUACAGUAUUACAGUUUGCCUAUACGAGCAGGAAUGAAUCACAUAUAAAACUCUGAAUUUAUUGCCCCUGGAGGACAAUUUCAGAACUCAUUUUGGGUUCACAAUGAUUAAAAAAUUUGAGUUCAUCUCAACCCAUGAGCCAAAGUUUGCCCAACAUCAUGCUUGAUAAUGGAAAGAAUGCUAGGUGGUUCUCUUAUGUAAGGGGAUCCUCUCAUGGAGUCAUACCAAAACAAUGUGGGACAACUAACAUGUAUAUGGUAUGUGCGUGAAUAUUCACAUACAUACACACACAAAUUCAUGCGUGCAUGCAUACACACAUACAUAGACUAUCUAGACUUCGUAUUAAUCUAAAGAUCAAUUUUCUCACAUUCCCAAGCCAGCUUUUGCAUUGUGCAUUCUAUGCUGGUAUUUCAAUAAUAUUUCAUUUUCUUUUACCAUAGUAUGAAUGCAGCUAUAUUUGGACCGCAGCUAUAUUUGGAUCAAUAUUUAGGCAAUAAUAAUGUGAUAUUUUAUCUGUUAUUUCUAGUGAUGAAAUAAAAUUGGAAAAGUAUCAUGUUUAGCCAAAAAACUUUAGAAAUAGUUCAGAUGCGUUAGCAGAUUUUUGUCAAUGCAUGCAUGCAUUUGUUGACUUUGUCUUGUAUAACAUGUUAUUGUUUCUUAAUCUUGUUUUGUAUAUGGUUUUUCCUGAACUUUUUCUAUGGAAGAUAGAACACCUAAUUAGAACUCUAAUUCUUUGCUUACAUAUGCUCUCUCUUAUACAUUACACAAUAGAAAUUUAUUUGUAAUGCAUGAAUUAGCAUGAAGUCCCAGUAAUGUCUAGUUCUGGAGUCUCUGUAUGAGAGAUCUUUUCCACCUUUGCAUGAUUUCAUUGGCUGAAAGAUAAAGGAUAUCUUAAUUGAUAUAUGUUUUGAAGUCACAGGGUGUCCUUUAAUCUUAACUUGAAAGGCCUCUGUCAUUCAUAUUGUCACUGAUGAAUUUUCUGAUUUCAUCAAUUUAUCUGGAGGUUUAAGUU